This is a long non-coding RNA of Epinephelus lanceolatus (giant grouper), 1921 nucleotides long. RefSeq lists it as uncharacterized. The record is from RefSeq and is a predicted model, not a curated record. NCBI's taxonomy places the organism in Eukaryota, Metazoa, Chordata, Actinopteri, Perciformes, Serranidae.
AUGCCGUGAUGUCUGGAGCCCUUUGCAGAAGGCAGAAGGCGAGCUUCUACAAUGGGCUCCUGUGUGGCUUGCCAACAACAAGCACCGGCUUAUUUUUGCACAGAUGCACAUGGCUUACUUUGAAGGACACUUUCCAUCCCUGCUUUCCGUCUACUUUCAUCACCCUGCAUCAUGCAACCUGAAAGCACUUCCCCAUCGAUGUACUUGGCUAUAUCUACGUCUGACCUGUCUGCCAUAUGUAAUAUCAAAGCCUCUGUCAGCGUGGAGCUGAAUGGGAACAAAAGAGAGGCCUCCAUUAAUGAUUAACUGUUCUAAAAGCCCCGGCUUUUGUAUUCCCAUGGUGCCCGGGCUAUCUGGCCACCAUGUGACAUGCUCACAGCAUUUUUCGAGCAGAUUGGGGGAAAGCUAGUGAGCAAACACAGGUGCUUUGGAGCAGCGUUGCCGACGCUGUCAGGGACAACCACAAACAAGAGCAGCUAUGCCUGGCUAAAUGAAUCCCCACCCCUCCCAACACCAUCACCACCUCCGCUGCUCCCCCCCGCUCUCAGUCGCUAGCUAACCUGUUUGCUAGCUCCCUAUAGCUUUCUCCCCUGCAAAGCCUUCCUUCUGGAGCGUCCCCACGUCCCCCCCUACAAGUCCAAUGUCCGCUACAGCCGCUGCUCCACAACUUCUCACACCCUCCAAAGAAACAAACAAAUAAAAAUGAGGACGGCCGACCACUUCUUUGAGGUGAUGGCAUUUGCUGUGGUCAUGACUAGUGGGAGAGCAAACAAAUUAAUGGCGUUCGAGUUUUCACUUUCCAAACCAAACUAAAUGUCUUUUAGUUCAAGUGGGGCAAUUCCACUGACCUUGGUGUCACACGCUGUAUAAGGGUUGCACACUCUUACACUUGAAAUGCUGAGAGGAGGCCGUAAGAAAUUAAACAAGGCUUGAGUAUUGGCCUACAUGGACCUGGUUUGUUAAAUGACAUGUGACCUAUAAAUCUUGAAUAAACUGUGUGUGUAAUAAAUACUCAUGGUUUAUUUAUUGUUUUUUGCUGUUUAUGUAUUUGGACCACAAACUUGAACAAGAGGUGUGUGGAGCACUUAACCUUUUCAUCGGGGCUGACUGAUUGUUCAGAGUGACUGGGGGUGCUGUGUCGCUCAACUUUGAUAAGACAAUCAGAUGAUAGGAUGGCGUUAUCUUAACAUGGCUUUCCGGCUGGGGGACAAAUGAACAGUGUGUGAUAACAGGAACAAAAGCUUGGCUCUUAUUGGCUGGCUCCUCCAAAGAAAGGGGGGAAAUUAUCAGGAUGGAAAAUUCACAAUAGGCACAGUUUAUUUCAUUUUCAAUUUUCUACUUAGCCCAGGUCACAGGGACAGCUUCUUUUUUUCUAAUCACUCAAAUAUUUAUAUUGUCUCUUGUUGGCAUUUUGGUCUCACAGUCUGUAAUUACCUGCGCCUAUAAAGCUGUUAUUAUCACUGGAAAGAUAAUAAAAAAAAUAUUUUAAAACAAACAAUUUAAAUCAACAGGGGAGGAAAUUAAGUUGUAAAAGUCAGAGAGACAGAUACAGAAAAGCAGGCUGUGAGUAAGAAUAUAUAUACUGUGGACAAUGAGAAAUUGAAGAAUUAAAAAUAUGGCGUGUGCGUGUGUGUGUGAUGGAAAGACGGAGGAAGAAGAAGGUCAAAAGUUGUUUCUUCAGAGACCCACUACUGAUCAGUAAAACGCCACUUCUGUCUGUGUUUCCUGACUUUUGCAGCCCAAUUCUCAGAGUCAGAGAGGAGUGUGUGUACACUCAAGGAUUCACUCAAGGCUUUGUUUGCUCUAUAGCCAAAAAAAUGAUUGGAAAAAAUAUUGGUGCCCUGGCAUGAACUUUCUUAGAACUAAAAAAACCCCUUUGAAACUGUGUGGAAAUUGCAUGAAUAAAAUAUCUCUUUUUAAA